CUUAAAAAUAAAAUGUAAAUUAGGGAAUUAUUUUAAAUCGGUACCGUAGGUUGGGUGACAACGAGCUCUGCCUACUAUUUCCAUGGGUGGCACGAGUGGACUUUCUAUACUUCACGGCCUUCUCGGCAGCGCCAACACCCGCCGCAGCAACUCGUCACCUCCUACCAGUCUCAAGGCCUUAACUUUUGUAAUACUUAACCAUGUUCGCUUCGGUGGCCUCGCAAAAGCCGUCUCCAUUCUCUACUCAUCCACCGUCGCCUUGCCUUUUUCUCUCUACGCCCACCUAUUUCAAAUUUGUUUUUCGAAAAAAGCCAUUGUCGAGAUACGGAAACUCGAAUCUCACCUAAUCAUGUGGAAUCUGAACCCACCAAUCUUUUUGCUUAAUAGGGCCAUUGAGGGCUAUGGGAAGUGUGGCUGUUUGGAUGAUGCCGAGGAACUGUUUGACCAAAUGCCUAAAAGAGAUGGUGGGUCAUGGAAUUCAAUAAUUACUGCGUACUCGCAAAAUGGGAAGGCGGAGGAAGCUCUAGGUAUGUUUUCAAGGAUGAGGAGGGAAGGAGUUUUUGCGAGUGAGGUUACUUUUGCGAACGUCCUCGCGUCAUGUGGCACCUUGUUGGAGCUGGGGCUAUCGGGGCAGGUGCAUGGGCUUGUUGUGAAAUAUGGGUUUUGUGGGAAUGUUAUUUUGGAGAGCUCGCUUGUGGAUGUGUAUGGGAAAUGUGGCGACAUAAGUGAAGCGAGGAGGAUGUUCGAUGAGAUUGAUAAUCCGAACGAUGUCUCGUGGAAUGUGAUUGUUAGGAGGUAUUUUGAGAUGGAUGAGGGAAAUGAGUCAGUGAAGAUGUUUUUCAAAAUGAUUAGGAUGAAUGUGAGGCCGUUGAGUUUCACUGUGUCCAAUGUCCUUCGUGCUUGCUCGAGUUUUCACGGACUUAAGGAAGGGAACCAAAUUCAUGGAUUUAGUAUCAAGAUUAACGUGGAAGAGGAUGAGGAGGUAUCAAAUACUCUCAUUAGCAUGUACGCGAAGUGUGGAGAUUUGGCAAGUGCCAGGACAGUCUUUGACCUAUCUUGUUCCCGAAAUUUGAUUAGUUGGACGGCAAUGGUGUCUGGGUAUGCGAGGAGUGGGCAAACGAUGGAGGCCAGGGAGCUUUUCAAUCAGAUGCCAGAGCGAAACGUGAUAUCAUGGAAUGCGAUGCUGGCAGGUUAUGUGGGCUCCUUUGAGUGGGAUAAAGCAUUGGACUUUGUUAUUCUGAUGCGUAAACGGACUAAGGACAUCGAUCAUGUCACUCUUGGGUUAAUUUUGAACAUAUGUGCUGCAAUUCCAGAUGUUGAAUUGGGGAAACAGGUUCAUGGAUAUAUCUAUAGGCAUGGUUUCUAUUCCAAUCUCUUUGUCGCGAAUGCCCUUCUCGACAUGUAUGGAAAGUGCGGUAAAUUGAGGAGUGCUAGAGUUUGGUUCUGUGAGAUGAGCCAUUUACGAAAUAAUGUUUCAUGGAAUGCUUUAUUAACAAGCUAUGCUCGUCAUGGAAUGAGUGAACAAGCCAUGAUGAUUUUUUGGAAAAUGUUAGAUGAGACAACGCCAAGCAUAUAUACCUUUGGAACAAUUUUGGCUGCUUGUGCAAAUAUAUUUGCACUUGAGAUAGGUAAACAGGUUCACGCAUUUAUGAUUAGAAAUGGUUACAAUAUGGAUGCUGUAAUAAGAGGAGCUUUAGUGGAUAUGUACUCCAAAUGUCGCUGUCCUGAGUAUGCUCUCAAAGUUUUUGACGAGGCUACUUCGAAGGACGUGAUACUUUGGAAUUCCAUGAUUUUGGGUUGUUCACAUAAUGGAAGGGGUGAGAAGGUACUUGAAUUGUUUGCAUCCAUGGAGGAGCAAGGUGCUAAGCCAGACCAUGUCACCUUUCAAGGAAUCUUGCUUGCUUGUAUUUCCGAAGGCCGGGUUGAGUUGGGUCGGCGGUUUUUCAAAUCAAUGACUGAUAAACACUGUCUGAUACCUCGUUUGGAGCAUUAUGAAUCCAUGAUUGAGCUAUAUGGUCAGUACGGAUGUAUAGAUGAGCUUGAUCAUUUUAUAAAUGAGAUGCCAUUUGAGCCCACUGCCCCAAUGUUGAUCAAAGUUUUUGAUUACAGUCGAAAAUAUAAAAGCUUGAAGCUGGGAGAAUGGGCUGCUGAUCAACUUAAUAAAUUAAAUCCUCCUGUUCCAUUCCGAUUCGAAAUCAUUGACAACAAGUAAUUGAUAAACAAUUACUCAAAGAUGUAGAUCAAUAUUUUGCAUCAUGCAUACCCAUACCAUAAUGCCCAACAUAUCUCUGAAGUGUUAAAAGAUUAGGGGUCUGAGUGAUUCUAAACUCUUGAGAACUCCUGGAAGAGAAAAGUGAGUGGCAUCAGUGAAAAAUCGUUUGGGUUUUAAUUUUCGCAGCACAUGAAUGGCUUCAUUUUGUUGCAUUUCAUAUUUUGUCUAUGAAGUACUAUCCUCAAGAACAGUGAGAAUUUCAUGUGGAUUGGGAAGGUGUCGCACAAGGGUAGAAGUGGCUUGAGACUGAUAUGAACACUGCUAGCUUUUUCAGCAACUUAAAAUGUGUAAGCGGCUCAAUUCUAUUGCAUUUUUUUUUAUGACUGAUUUGGUGUCUGGAUUCAAAUAUUUUCUUGUGGCUUGCAUUCAUUACUGAUCAAGAGAUAUAUCUUGGGUUAGAGUACUGAUUGCCAGUCCCACGGAUAAAUUUUGACCAACUUCUCAUUCUCAGAAAUAUCGAACUGCCCUAUUGCCAACUUUGGACUAUCGGCUUUCAUGGUAGAAACUAAGAUUUCCCAUGGAACCAUCAAAUAGGCGCCAAGAUACAAGUUCUUUUUCAUACUUUGAAUCCAACUACAGAAGCCAAGGUAUUCUUUCUUUUCAAUUAUGUCAUUUGUUGCCAAUGUUUUUAUAAUUUGAUUGCAUUAGGGUCCAAAACUUUGUAAAUAAGCUGCAGGGAAGUUUCCUUUACAGUUAACUCCCCUGAGAACUUCUUGAUGGCAACUGAGAGAUAAUUAUAGCAAAAAAGUAGCGUCUGUUUUUUUGGGAUUCGAACUGUAUUUCUAUACUUGGCUUUGAUGUAAGGGCUGCUGUUUCGAGAAAUUCGAUGCUGAGGCUCUGUUCCUGUCUGAAAUUAUUUGCUGUUUUGAGAUGCAAGUAUUCGAUAGCAAAGUAUAUGUCUAGCUUUAUGCAAGAAGUGGUUGAUUUUGGGAUAUAAAGUCACUGUUGAACGUAUAUUGAGUACCAAAGCUUGCCCCGGCUCAGUUUCUUUCAACUUCUAACAUCACAACCCAACAACAACGACCCAAGACAAUAACCAAGCUUUCACUUCCGGUUGCCAAUGAGGUAGUUUACUUAUGAGACCACGAAGGUGCACUAUAUCUCAUAUAUUAUCACCACUAUAAGUAGAAAUCAAAAGGAGGCAGAAUUAGUAGAAGGAAUCUCGCAGAAACCGGCUGAAUAGAGAGAGGUAGAGGACGUCUCUCACCAAGAAAGAAAGCGACCCAUUUUAUCAAGUAAUAAUGGCCCAAAUAUGGUAAGUGUAGCUAAGUUAUUAGUCAAAGUGGAGGCCCAAUAAGUAAGUAAAUGGAUUCACAAGUAAUCUCUUUUAAUUAUGGCCAUCUAAGAAAGCGGAUUGGAC
This 3632-nucleotide long non-coding RNA is filed under the name Olea europaea subsp. europaea. Lineage: Eukaryota; Viridiplantae; Streptophyta; Magnoliopsida; Lamiales; Oleaceae. The record is from RNAcentral.